Hevea brasiliensis (rubber tree) is the source of this 1690-nucleotide RNA transcript. RefSeq lists it as uncharacterized. The record is from RefSeq and is a predicted model, not a curated record. The transcript is spliced from 5 exons. Lineage: Eukaryota; Viridiplantae; Streptophyta; Magnoliopsida; Malpighiales; Euphorbiaceae.
UAGUUCAUUAUUUUUUGUUUAUCUGCGUUUCUUGAAUUGUUUGAUUCUUGAAGUCUGGUUUUGUAGCAGAAUAGCCUCAAAAUUUGUCCUGUUUUGAAGCUAAUGACCCACUUAUCAAAAUCAACAAAUAAUUAUGUGCUGAUUAUCGUGACUGUGAUCUGUCCUGUCAAAGAUUAUUGCAUUAUGUGAUUAGUCAAUUAAUUGCCACAUUAGGCAGUAACAUAAAUUUUAGGCUCAUCACUGAUGCAAAUUAAAGAAAUCCUACUUGCCAUUUGUGUCUUGAGACGAGGAUAAUUAUCAUUAAUUAGUAUACCAUCUUAGCUGGAUAAUCAUAUGGGCUCAAACUCCAUUCUUUGUCCUUAUCUGAUUAGCAAAUGGCCAAUGAAACCUAAGAGAGCGAGGUGGAACUUGGAAGUGAGUGUUCUCUGUUGAUUGAACUCAAAGAGAUGACUGAACACUCACUAGCCGUAGAUGCAUGGAUAAGAGAAGCACAAGAAGUGUCCAGGUUGAUGGGGAACAUAGAAAGCAGGAUCAAGAACAAGGGCCUUGCACAAGAGCACAGGCUUAAAGACAAUGCUCAAUCCAAGCUUUUGGAAGUCGGAGUUAAGCUUGAUCGCCUUGAAUCACUCCUCCAUAACCCUCCUUCAAAACCCAUCUUAACCAAAGAAGAUAUGAAAUUCCGAUGGGAAAUGCUAUCAGAUUUCCGCCUAAGAACAAGAGUGCUGGCCAUCAGUCUUUAUGCGUCACCAUCUUCAAAGAGGAAGUUUGCCUGUUUCAAAUGCGAAAGGAAUCAGUAAACCCACUGAAAGUGAAGAUCUAGUCAGAAGAUGCAACGCAAAGUCGAAUGCAGGUACAUUCUUUCUUAUCUUAUAUUUUAUUUUGUUUAAAAUAACUUGUUUACUUCUCUUUUAUUUUCCAAUUUAACUGCUCUAUAUUUUUGUUGAUAAGUAGAUGAAGCAAUCUUGGUCUUGUAUUCCAAUGAGUAUACUCAGGAAGGUGUGUUGGAUCAUCUGUUUGAUUAUUGAAGCAGCUGCACUUCUUUUCUUGCUGGUUAUCUUCUGCGCAGCUAUAUAAUAGUGUAUAGUCUACCUAGAUCUUCCUAGUGGUGUGAUAUUAGGAUCGCUUCUUCACGAGUUCAGAGCUUUUUCAGGACCAGUCUUGUGAAGUUUGCAUUGCUUUUGCUUGAUCAUUCCAGUCUUAAUUCAAGCUUUGAUCAAAGAUCAUCAAUCUGUGCUUCUUGUAUUUCUGAUUCCUGAAACUGCAAAUUUGUUAAUCUAGCUCCAACACUAUUCAAUUGUUUGAAGAGAUUGAAACUGAAAUCUCUCAGGCGUGAAAAAAAAGAUGAGAAGAUUAAGAAUGUAGUUUUGCUUGUUAUUGCUAUUGGAUUCUUGUGUUGCUAUUUCAAGAACUUAAUGCAAAACAGCUUAGUACUUCACAUCUGUGGCGGGAAGAAAGUUGAGUAAGAGGAGGAGAAUGGCAGAUGGCAUAGUCUGAGUGUAGCAGCAAGCAAUUUCUGAGGUGGUUCAGGCUGCCGGGGAAUGUGAAGAUGUAUCAGGUCAUGGCCAAGACCAUAGCACAUUGUUUAAGUAUCCAAUUCGUAUUUUGUUCCCUCCCUUGUAACUCCACUAUCAAGCUUCAGUAUCUUGAACUUAUACAUUCAUAGUCGCAAAAUCUCAUAUGAGUUCUAGCA